Molecule: transfer RNA, 73 nt
Filed under: Asanoa ferruginea
Lineage: Bacteria; Bacillati; Actinomycetota; Actinomycetes; Micromonosporales; Micromonosporaceae
Description: tRNA-Gly
Rfam family: tRNA
About the family: Transfer RNA (tRNA) molecules are approximately 80 nucleotides in length. Their secondary structure includes four short double-helical elements and three loops (D, anti-codon, and T loops).
Source: RNAcentral
GCGGUAGUAGCUCAUCAGGUAGAGCGGCACACCUCCAAUGUGCAGGCGCGCGGUUCGAGUCCGCGCUACCGCU